This 650-nucleotide ribosomal RNA is filed under the name Cryptococcus sp. CRUB 1154. RNAcentral's name for it is "eukaryotic LSU rRNA". It matches the Rfam family "Eukaryotic large subunit ribosomal RNA", at positions 62 to 698 of the family's 3401-position model. The record is from RNAcentral. RNAcentral also lists the same sequence under 1 other name. Lineage: Eukaryota; Fungi; Basidiomycota; Tremellomycetes; Tremellales; Cryptococcaceae.
AAACUAACAAGGAUUCCCCCUAGUAACGGCGAGUGAAGCGGGAUGAGCUCAAAUUUGUAAUCUGGUGGACUCAGUUCAUCCGAAUUGUAAUCUAUAGAAAAGUUUUCCGCGCUGGACCGUGUCUAAGUCCCUUGGAACAGGGUGUCAGAGAGGGUGAGAAUCCCGUGCUUGAUACGACCACCAGUGCUAUGUGAUACUUUUUCAACGAGUCGAGUUGUUUGGGAAUGCAGCUCAAAAUGGGUGGUAAAUUCCAUCUAAAGCUAAAUAUUGGCGAGAGACCGAUAGCGAACAAGUACCGUGAGGGAAAGAUGAAAAGCACUUUGGAAAGAGAGUUAAACAGUACGUGAAAUUGUUAAAAGGGAAACGAUUGAAGUCAGUCGUGCUCUCUAGGACUCAGCCAGUUCUUCUGGUGUAUUUCCUAGUGAGCGGGUCAACAUCAGUUUAGAUCGCUGGAUAAGGUCAUUAGGAAUGUGGCUCCCUCGGGAGUGUUAUAGCCUAGUGUCGCAUACAGUGGUUUAGACUGAGGAACGCAGCUCGCCUUUAUGGCCGGGGUUCGCCCACGUCCGAGCUUAGGAUGUUGACAUAAUGGCUUUAAACGACCCGUCUUGAAACACGGACCAAGGAGUCUAACAUAUCUGCGAGUAUUUGGG